Molecule: RNA transcript, 3186 nt
Organism: Antechinus flavipes (yellow-footed antechinus)
Lineage: Eukaryota; Metazoa; Chordata; Mammalia; Dasyuromorphia; Dasyuridae
Gene: ISG20L2
Gene name: interferon stimulated exonuclease gene 20 like 2
Exons: 5
Source: RefSeq, a predicted model, not a curated record
GUUCGCCCGCGUGCCUGCCGCCCGCAGCCGCGCAGGCGCGGUCCCAUCUCCACUUCCGCCUCCGGUCGCUUCCGGCCUCUACGGGGGCCGCCAGAGGAGGGUAUGCUACACACCUCAAGAUGUGGGUCUCUGGCCUUUGGCUGGGAAUAAGCCCCCAAGCUUCCCUGUUUUUAGAAGCCACUAUCUGAAGCGAGAUCCCUCCUGGUCACUCUUCUCUCCGAUCCUCCCUGACAAUGUCUACCCUAAUUCUCAACUUGGACUUUGGGGACUGUUCUCCCCCAAAGAAGGCAACUGAGGGGAACCACAGGCACCAGCGUUUCAUCCAACGACAAAGGCGGAUACAGAGGAAUCUUAAGCAGAAACAGAUGCAGGUCCCUGCUAGGCCUUCAGGAUCAGGUCAUUCGAAACUCCAAAAUAAAGGGGGGGCCCUUAGCACAAAUAGUAAACAGAAACUCCAUCUCCCCCCUGAACCUAUAGAGGAGACACCCACUCAGAAAAAUGGAAUUGAGAAGCCCUUGAAUAGGAAAGUAUCAACAGUGUCUUGGUUGACACCUGCUCCUUCAAGGAAGACCAGUUCAGUAUCUGUGGCAUCUAAGGUAGAUCUCCUGUCAGAGUUUCAGAGUGGCCUUUGCCCCCUCCCACCUACCCGAACCCUCCCACCUGCAUCAGAGAAGGGCUGCAACAAGAAGAUGGUGGCUCUUGACUGUGAGAUGGUGGGCACAGGGCCUAAAGGCCAUACCAGUUCUUUGGCCCGGUGUAGCAUUGUAAGUUACAAUGGUGACGUGCUAUAUGAUGAAUACAUUCGUCCUCCCUGCAAAAUUGUUGACUACCGGACCAAGUGGAGCGGUAUCAAGAAGGAGCAUAUGAUUAAUGCCACUCCUUUCAAAGUGGCCCGGAAAGAGAUCUUGAAGAUACUUGUUGGCAAGAUUGUAGUGGGCCAUGCCAUCCACAAUGACUUCAAAGCCCUCCAUUACUUUCACCCCAAGCCCCUUACCCGAGACACUUCCCGAAUUCCUAUCCUUAAUUCCCGGGCUGGCUUCCCUGAGAAUGAAUCAAUCUCUUUGAAGCGUCUGACCAAGCAGCUGCUCCAUCAGGACAUUCAGGUAGGGAAGAGCGGACAUUCCUCAGUUGAAGAUGCCAAGGCAACUAUGGACCUCUACAAACUGGUGGAAGUUGAGUGGGAGCAACAGCUGGCCCGGUCUCCUCCCUCUCAGGAGUAGGGGAGGUGGGGUUUGGGGACUGGUGGUCAUUUCGGAGAGAAUACAUCAGACUGAGGAUAAACAGGACUUAGGCUGGAGCUGUUGGGAAGUAUUUCAUCUACAGAAAAACCCGGGGCCAUAGUUCUGUCUUCAUUGCUUUGCCUCUGGAGACUAGAGCCACCUCCAUGACUGCCAUUAGAAAAUAAAAACGUCACCCCAGUAACAGCUUUCCCUUUAGCCCCACCAGGCCUCAAGCAUUAGCUCAUUGACUUCAUAGCAUGAUCUACAUGCACAGGCAAUCAUCAAGGCUUGAGCAAGUUGGUUCCUGUCAAGCCUAGCAGGCAUCAAUGUCCAUGUUGGCACAGAAGAAGUGACACUGCGUGGUCCAUGAAUAGAGAGAACCAGGAAGUCUAUGAAGUCUGUAUAACCUGAACAAGAUAACCUAUGCUGGCCUUAGAAUUGGGCACGAAAACAGAAUUAGAUUACAGAUAGCCAUGAUGAAGAAAGACUACUAGCAAACUCAGAACCAGGUAACUUGAUUAAAAUCCGAAUCUUUGGCCUUUGUGGGACCUAUUUAUGAAAACAUUUUGGGGACAAGACCAGACUCCAGCUUAUAUAUGUGGAAUUCACAAUACAUAUACCCAGCCUCAAUGAAAUUAGUACCUGGAAUUAUUGACUAGAUUAUAAGCUCUUUUAGGGCAAGAGGUAGUCUGUUUACCAUAUUGGUCCAUUUGAGUAAAACCUGAGUGUCCAACACAUGUUAUUUUUCAGUGUGAAUUUUAAUGGGUGGUCUUUUUUGAGAUUUCAUUUGAGAUUUUCAUUACAUUUAGUUUAAUAUAAGCAUUUAUGUAUCUCACCUAGGAAAAUGCCUUAUUGUUCAUGACUGGCAACUGAAUGAAUGACUUAGACUCUGGUUCAUUGUUGUUUUGGGAGGUGUCCAGACUUAGGAUUUCAUUGGUUUAGAGAUCAGUGGAUAAAGCACCAGGCCUGGAGUCAGGAGGACCUGAGUUCAAGUGUGCCCUCAGACACUUAACACUUCCUAGCUGUGUGAUCCUGGGUAAAUCACUUAACCCCCAUUGCCUCAGCAAAAAAAAAAAAAAAAAGGGAAAUCAUUGAUUUAGAGAUGUCCUAAUGAAAAAUUCCCAUUACCAAUGCAAAUCACUAAUUGCUCUGUAAGGCAGAGUCCUAGAAAGUCUCCGGGAAGCACUGAGAGUUUGUCCAGAGUAAGUCAUUACUUAUCAAAGUUAUAUUUGAGCCCAGGUCUUUCUGACUCUAAGGUAAACUAUCUAUUGUAUCAUACUGCUCUGCAAACAAAUGACAACAUUUGACAAUAGAAAUGUAAGCACUUAAUUAAUGAAUGUCUUAAUAUCACAGAAUUUCAUGAUUUCCAAAGGAUGUUAGAAAUGAAUCCAUUAUGUACCAGGAAGAGAGAAUCCCUGUACAACAUGACAUAAGUGGUCACCAAACAUUUGUUUGGAAGACUUCAAAUGAGGAAAAGCCUAUAACAUUCUUAGCCCAUUUCACUUUUGAAUAAUUCGAGUUAUUAGGAAGUCUUUACUCAAAUUAAGGUCAAUUAUUGCAAUUUCUAUCCAUUGCUCUAAACUAUGCCCUUUAAAGGUUAAGCAGAUGAGUCUUGUUCACUUUUCAUUCAAAUGCUGGAAUACAGCUUAACACACUCAUGAUGUCUUUUCCAGGCUAAACAGUCUGGUUCCUUCCAUCCUCUUAUGGGCAAGAACUUGAAGAUUUUUCGCUUUCCUUGUCACUACCCUCUGGAUAUGCUCCAUCUUAUUGUCCUAACUCAAAUGUAUCCAAAACUGAACACAAUACUCUCUCAGUGUAGUCUAAGAGCCCAUUAGCUUUCCUGGACAAUUGUGUGGACUUAUUCAUUGAGUGUGUGACCCACAGAAAACACCACACCUUCAUUAACUGGGCUAACACCCAUUUUGUAUUUGUGAUAAUUGACUUUUUAAAAUCAUGCAUAACUUUA